UACGUAGGGCGCAAGCGUUGUCCGGAAUUAUUGGGCGUAAAGAGCUCGUAGGCGGUUUGUCACGUCUUCUGUGAAAUCCCGAGGCUCAACCUCGGGCCUGCAGUGGGUACGGGCAGACUGGAGUGCGGUAGGGGAGAAUGGAAUUCCUGGUGUAGCGGUGGAAUGCGCAGAUAUCAGGAGGAACACCGAUGGCGAAGGCAGUUCUCUGGGCCGUAACUGACGCUGAGGAGCGAAAGCGUGGGGAGCGAACAGG
This 253-nucleotide ribosomal RNA is filed under the name uncultured bacterium. RNAcentral's name for it is "partial 16S ribosomal RNA". It matches the Rfam family "Bacterial small subunit ribosomal RNA", at positions 524 to 776 of the family's 1533-position model. The record is from RNAcentral.